This is a long non-coding RNA of Pogonomyrmex barbatus (red harvester ant), 855 nucleotides long. Lineage: Eukaryota; Metazoa; Arthropoda; Insecta; Hymenoptera; Formicidae. The record is from RefSeq and is a predicted model, not a curated record.
AAUUGUAUAUUUUUCUCUGAAAUGUCCAAAUUAAUUUACUUUUAUUCAUCAUACAUACACACCUUCACGAAAGUAGGAAUAAAAAUUUUCAUUUGCACUCAAUAAAAAUGGUCAUCACGAGUCAGUAUCUUAUGCAAUAACGCAAUCAUUAUUAAUACGUUAAGUUAUCUACAAUCAACUCGUCUAAAAUUGCAUAUCCCCUCCGAAAACGAAUCAUGCGGGUCUGUCGUCAUCGUGUUUAAUCGAGCGCAGAAAAUUGUUCACCGAUUCUUUAGUUAAGCGCACGCUAUCGUUGUGAAUUUCGCGGAUAUGAUCAAUAAUUUCGCGAUGCACUUAAACGUGCCUUAUAAGCAUGCACACGUUAUGGAAUAGCUUACUUUCAACGUCUUAAUUUAUUGUACGUUGCAACCACGGCUGGAAUCGUUCGUAAAUGUUACACACUGGGUUCUUAAUGUAUAUCUGUUUCGUCCCAGUUAUUACACAAAUAUAUUGUUCCUAAAUCCACACACACACACACGUGGGCUCUCUAUACUUUCCACUCUCGUACACGCAUCGCUGCCAAGAUAGUUUUAUUACGAGUAUACUCCUAAUUACACCAUACUUUACGCGCAACAUCAAAGUGCGGUUACUAACGGUAAAAGAACGGAUGGUCUAAAAACAGCCAGUUUUGCACCGGUUCUUAAUUGCUUUGCAAAUCUCUACGAUAUCAUUAAUCUCGCUUGCGAACAACCCGAGCACUUGCCUUCAAGAUAAACAUCAUGUGGUCGAUUUAUAUGCAUUCGUGACACAAAGUAAAUACAAAAUACAAGAGGAGCCAAGCCACAAGCACGACAACAGAAAGAGAGAAUCACGUCC